Molecule: ribosomal RNA, 497 nt
Filed under: uncultured bacterium
Lineage: Bacteria
Description: partial 16S ribosomal RNA
Rfam family: Bacterial small subunit ribosomal RNA
Source: RNAcentral
GAUGAACGCUGGCGGCGUGCCUAACACAUGCAAGUCGAGCGAACAGACGAGGAGUUUGCUCCGCUGACGUGAGCGGCGGACGUGUGAGUUACAUGUGGAUAACCUCCCUAUAGGACGGGGAUAACUUCGGGAAACGGGUGCUAAUACCGGAGAAUAUAGUGAACCGCAUGGGUCACUAGUGAAAGACGGUUUUGCUGUUACUUAUAGAUGGAUCCGCGCCUCAUUAGCUAGUUGGUAAGGUAACGGCUUACCAAGGCAACGAUGAGUAGCCGACCUGAGAGGGUGAUCGGCCACACUGGAACUGAGACACGGCCCAGACUCCUACGGGAGGCAGCAGUAGGGAAUCUUCCGCAAUGGGCGAAAGCCUGACGGAGCAACGCCGCGUGAGUGAUGAAGGCCUUCGGAUCGUAAAGCUCUGUUAUUAGGAAAGAACAACUGUGUAAGUAACCAUGCACGUCUUGACGGUACCUGAAGAGUAAGCCCCGGCUAACUACGUG